GACGUAGGGCGCGAGCGUUGUCCGGAUUUAUUGGGCGUAAAGAGCUCGUAGGCGGCUCAUUGCGUCAACCGUGAAAACCAGCAGCUCAACUGUUGGCUUGUGGUUGAUACGGGUGGGCUGGAGUUCGGUAGGGGAGACUGGAAUUCCUGGUGUAGCGGUGAGAUGCGCAGAUAUCAGGAGGAACACCGGUGGCGAAGGCGGGUCUCUGGGCCGAUACUGACGCUGAGGAGCGAAAGCGUGGGGAGCGAACAGG
Molecule: ribosomal RNA, 253 nt
Filed under: uncultured bacterium
Lineage: Bacteria
Description: partial 16S ribosomal RNA
Rfam family: Bacterial small subunit ribosomal RNA
Source: RNAcentral